GCCAGAAGAGCAGUUCUCCAGGCCCAGAAGUAAGCUACACCCACAAUUCUGUAUGCAGCUGUGAGAAAGGAGAGUGGAAAUCCAAGUCAAUGCAGUAUCACCGUGUUCCCAAUCACGAGUAUUCCACUGGGCCCACUGGCUGCCAAGACAUGGAUGGGAUCCAGUGGUGAGCCUGCCCCAGCACAUGAAACACAUGCUUGGGAAACAGUGCCUGACUGGAUGGAGCCCUCUGGUACCCUCAAAGAGAAGCAACUCGCCUCAUGACGAUGAGCGCCCUGGAAUUCCAUGGAAGACAGCACAAAACCAAUAAAACCACUGGUGUUCAGUUA
Molecule: long non-coding RNA, 329 nt
Organism: Homo sapiens (human)
Lineage: Eukaryota; Metazoa; Chordata; Mammalia; Primates; Hominidae
Source: Ensembl